Molecule: signal recognition particle RNA, 89 nt
Filed under: marine eukaryotic metagenome
Description: Bacterial small signal recognition particle RNA
Rfam family: Bacterial small signal recognition particle RNA
About the family: The signal recognition particle (SRP) is a universally conserved ribonucleoprotein involved in the co-translational targeting of proteins to membranes. Archaeal SRP consists of a 7S RNA and homologues of the eukaryotic SRP19 and SRP54 proteins.
Source: RNAcentral
UCUCUCUGGCGGCGACACGUUGUGAACCCGGUCAGGUCCGGAAGGAAGCAGCCGCAGCAGCCGAUUCGGGUGUCAGAGUCAGGCUGGCU